This is a non-coding RNA of Paramuricea clavata, 122 nucleotides long. NCBI's taxonomy places the organism in Eukaryota, Metazoa, Cnidaria, Anthozoa, Malacalcyonacea, Plexauridae. The record is from the annotation of a GenBank genome assembly.
UGUACUCAGGUGAAUAAUAUGUUUGCGAUGUUACUCUGAGUGGCCGGGCAUAUUUUUCAAGCUCGCCCGGUGUGGAUAUGCACUCAGAGUAACAUCGCAAACAUAUUAUUCACCUGAGUACA